ACUACAUGAAGCUGGAAUCGCUAGUAAUCGCAGGUCAGCAUACUGCGGUGAAUACGUUCCCGGGUCUUGUACACACCGCCCGUCACACCAUGGGAGCCGGAAAUGCCCGAAGCCAGUGACCCAACCUUAGGGAGGGAGCUGCCGAAGGUGGAGCCGGUAACUGGGGUGAAGUCGUAACAAGGUAGC
RNAcentral lists this ribosomal RNA (186 nucleotides) under uncultured bacterium. Its description in RNAcentral is "partial 16S ribosomal RNA". It matches the Rfam family "Bacterial small subunit ribosomal RNA", at positions 1315 to 1500 of the family's 1533-position model. The record is from RNAcentral.